RNAcentral lists this ribosomal RNA (570 nucleotides) under Tethya bergquistae. It matches the Rfam family "Bacterial large subunit ribosomal RNA", at positions 1909 to 2493 of the family's 2925-position model. Lineage: Eukaryota; Metazoa; Porifera; Demospongiae; Tethyida; Tethyidae. The record is from RNAcentral.
UUGGUUAAGGGCAAUUGAAUGGCCGCGGUAAAUCUGACCGUGAUAAUGUAGCGCAAUCAAUAGCCAAUUAAUUGUUGGCAAGUAUGAAUGGCGUCACGAAUGCCCUACUGUCUCAAGAUAAAAACCAAUGAAAUUGAAGUCGUAGUGAAGAUGCUACGUUCAAAUUAUAAGACGAGAAGACCCCAUUGAGCUUUACUGGAGGCUUAUAUUGUUUUUUUCGAAUUAAUGUUUAGAUUAUGUGGGUAUAAUGAAGGCCAAGUUGGAUUUAUAUGAAAAACCACUUAUUAAUUAAAAAAAAACUAAUUAUUUUAAAUUAAAGGCAGGAGAGUAUAAGUUGGACAGUUUAGUUGGGGCGACUGCCUUCUAAAGAGUAACGAAGGUGUACAUAAGGUGAAUAAUAUAAUAGUAUAAAGUAAGAAGCCUGACAGCAAGAAGGACUUUCGAGCUGACACAAGUAAGGGAAUGAUAUUGGUCUUAUUUUGUGGGUUAUAAUGACCCGUUAGUUAAGAAUGGAAUUGCUAGCGAUUAACGAAUAAAAGUUACCAUGGGGAUAACAGCGUAAUAUCGUUU